CCUACGGGUGGCAGCAGUGGGGAAUAUUGGACAAUGGGCGAAAGCCUGAUCCAGCCAUGCCGCGUGUGUGAAGAAGGCCUUCGGGUUGUAAAGCACUUUCAGUGGGGAAGAAAGCCUUUGGGCUAAUACCCUCGAGGAAGGACAUCACCCACAGAAGAAGCACCGGCUAACUCCGUGCCAGCAGCCGCGGUAAUACGGAGGGUGCGAGCGUUAAUCGGAAUUACUGGGCGUAAAGCGCGCGUAGGCGGUCUGAUAAGCCGGUUGUGAAAGCCCCGGGCUCAACCUGGGAACGGCAUCCGGAACUGUCAGGCUAGAGUGCAGGAGAGGAAGGUAGAAUUCCCGGUGUAGCGGUGAAAGGCGUAGAGAUCGGGAGGAAUACCAGUGGCGAAGGCGGCCUUCUGGACUGACACUGACGCUGAGGUGCGAAAGCGUGGGUAGCAAACAGGAUUAGAUACCCUAGUAGUC
Molecule: ribosomal RNA, 465 nt
Filed under: Vreelandella stevensii
Lineage: Bacteria; Pseudomonadati; Pseudomonadota; Gammaproteobacteria; Oceanospirillales; Halomonadaceae
Description: partial 16S ribosomal RNA
Rfam family: Bacterial small subunit ribosomal RNA
Source: RNAcentral